This 248-nucleotide ribosomal RNA is filed under the name uncultured Actinomycetales bacterium. RNAcentral's name for it is "partial 16S ribosomal RNA". It matches the Rfam family "Bacterial small subunit ribosomal RNA", at positions 85 to 334 of the family's 1533-position model. Lineage: Bacteria; Bacillati; Actinomycetota; Actinomycetes; Actinomycetales. The record is from RNAcentral.
GGGUGCUCGGGUGGCGAACGGGUGAGUAACACGUGAGUAACCUGCCCUUGACUUUGGGAUAACUUCAGGAAACUGGGGCUAAUACCGGAUAGGAGCUCCUGCUGCAUGGUGGGGGUUGGAAAGUUUCGGCGGUUGGGGAUGGACUCGCGGCUUAUCAGCUUGUUGGUGGGGUAGUGGCUUACCAAGGCUUUGACGGGUAGCCGGCCUGAGAGGGUGACCGGCCACAUUGGGACUGAGAUACGGCCCAG